RNAcentral lists this ribosomal RNA (404 nucleotides) under uncultured bacterium. RNAcentral's name for it is "bacterial SSU rRNA". It matches the Rfam family "Bacterial small subunit ribosomal RNA", at positions 28 to 433 of the family's 1533-position model. The record is from RNAcentral.
GAUGAACGCUAGCGGCAGGCCUAACACAUGCAAGUCGAGGGGUAGAGUUCUUCGGGACUUGAGACCGGCGCACGGGUGCGUAACGCGUAUGCAAUCUACCUUAUACAGGGGAAUAGCCCCAGAGAAAUUUGGAUUAAUGCCCCAUAGUGUUAUCGAAUCGCAUGGUUUGAUAACUAAAGUUCCAACGGUAUAAGAUGAGCAUGCGUCCCAUUAGUUAGUGGUAAGGUAACGGCUUACCAAGACAAUGAUGGGUAGGGGUCCUGAGAGGGAGAUCCCCCACACUGGUACUGAGACACGGACCAGACUCCUACGGGAGGCAGCAGUGAGGAAUAUUGGUCAAUGGGGCGCAAGCCUGAACCAGCCAUGCCGCGUGCAGGAAGACGGUCCUAUGGAUUGUAAACUGC